This 274-nucleotide ribosomal RNA is filed under the name uncultured bacterium. Its description in RNAcentral is "partial 16S ribosomal RNA". It matches the Rfam family "Bacterial small subunit ribosomal RNA", at positions 523 to 796 of the family's 1533-position model. The record is from RNAcentral.
AUACGGAGGUUGCAAGCGUUAAUCGGAAUUACUGGGCGUAAAGGGCGCGUAGGCGGUCUAUCAAGUCAGGAGUGAAAUCCCACGGCUCAACCGUGGAGGUGCAACUGAAACUGAUAGACUUGAGUAUGGGAGAGGAAAGUGGAAUUCCCGGUGUAGAGGUGAAAUUCGUAGAUAUCGGGAGGAACACCAGUGGCGAAGGCGACUUUCUGGACCAAUACUGACGCUGAGGCGCGAAAGCGUGGGGAGCAAACAGGAUUAGAUACCCUAGUAGUCC